CCUACGGGUGGCUGCAGUGAGGAAUAUUGGUCAAUGGACGAGAGUCUGAACCAGCCAAGUCGCGUGAAGGAUGAAUGCCCUAUGGGUUGUAAACUUCUUUUACAAAGGAAUAAAACGACGCACGUGUGCCUUUCUGCAUGUACUUUAUGAAUAAGGAUCGGCUAACUCCGUGCCAGCAGCCGCGGUAAUACGGAGGAUCCGAGCGUUAUCCGGAUUUAUUGGGUUUAAAGGGAGCGUAGAUGGGUUGUUAAGUCAGUUGUGAAAGUUCGCGGCUCAACCGUAAAAUUGCAAUUGAUACUGGCAGUCUUGAGUACAGUUGAGGUAGGCGGAAUUCGUGGUGUAGCGGUGAAAUGCUUAGAUAUCGCGAAGAACCCCGAUUGCGAAGGCAGCUUACUAAACUGUGACUGACAUUGAUGCUCGAAAGUGUGGGGAUCAAACAGGAUUAGAUACCCCUGUAGUC
This 460-nucleotide ribosomal RNA is filed under the name uncultured bacterium. RNAcentral's name for it is "partial 16S ribosomal RNA". It matches the Rfam family "Bacterial small subunit ribosomal RNA", at positions 338 to 795 of the family's 1533-position model. The record is from RNAcentral.